GCUGAAACAACGGUUCUUGUUCAGUCACUGUAGUUAAGCAACAUCAAGCUUGGUCAGUACCUAGAUGGGUGACCACUUGGGAAUACCAGGUGUUGUAA
Non-coding RNA from Acanthosepion pharaonis, 98 nucleotides. NCBI's taxonomy places the organism in Eukaryota, Metazoa, Mollusca, Cephalopoda, Sepiida, Sepiidae. The record is from the annotation of a GenBank genome assembly.